CAGCCGCCGCGGUAAUACAGAGGGUGCAAGCGUUAAUCGGAAUUACUGGGCGUAAAGCGCGCGUAGGUGGUUUGUUAAGUCGAAUGUGAAAUCCCCGGGCUCAACCUGGGAACUGCAUCCGAAACUGGCAAGCUAGAGUAUGGUAGAGGGUAGUGGAAUUUCCUGUGUAGCGGUGAAAUGCGUAGAUAUAGGAAGGAACACCAGUGGCGAAGGCGACUACCUGGACUGAUACUGACACUGAGGUGCGAAAGCGUGGGGAGCAAACAGGAUUAGAUACCCCAGUAGUCCCUGUCUCUUAUAA
This 301-nucleotide ribosomal RNA is filed under the name uncultured bacterium. Its description in RNAcentral is "partial 16S ribosomal RNA". It matches the Rfam family "Bacterial small subunit ribosomal RNA", at positions 509 to 809 of the family's 1533-position model. The record is from RNAcentral.